Molecule: ribosomal RNA, 737 nt
Filed under: Limosilactobacillus fermentum
Lineage: Bacteria; Bacillati; Bacillota; Bacilli; Lactobacillales; Lactobacillaceae
Description: bacterial SSU rRNA
Rfam family: Bacterial small subunit ribosomal RNA
Source: RNAcentral
AGUCGAACGCGUUGGCCCAAUUGAUUGAUGGUGCUUGCACCUGAUUGAUUUUGGUCGCCAACGAGUGGCGGACGGGUGAGUAACACGUAGGUAACCUGCCCAGAAGCGGGGGACAACAUUUGGAAACAGAUGCUAAUACCGCAUAACAGCGUUGUUCGCAUGAACAACGCUUAAAAGAUGGCUUCUCGCUAUCACUUCUGGAUGGACCUGCGGUGCAUUAGCUUGUUGGUGGGGUAAUGGCCUACCAAGGCGAUGAUGCAUAGCCGAGUUGAGAGACUGAUCGGCCACAAUGGGACUGAGACACGGCCCAUACUCCUACGGGAGGCAGCAGUAGGGAAUCUUCCACAAUGGGCGCAAGCCUGAUGGAGCAACACCGCGUGAGUGAAGAAGGGUUUCGGCUCGUAAAGCUCUGUUGUUAAAGAAGAACACGUAUGAGAGUAACUGUUCAUACGUUGACGGUAUUUAACCAGAAAGUCACGGCUAACUACGUGCCAGCAGCCGCGGUAAUACGUAGGUGGCAAGCGUUAUCCGGAUUUAUUGGGCGUAAAGAGAGUGCAGGCGGUUUUCUAAGUCUGAUGUGAAAGCCUUCGGCUUAACCGGAGAAGUGCAUCGGAAACUGGAUAACUUGAGUGCAGAAGAGGGUAGUGGAACUCCAUGUGUAGCGGUGGAAUGCGUAGAUAUAUGGAAGAACACCAGUGGCGAAGGCGGCUACCUGGUCUGCAACUGACGCUGAGACU